Molecule: long non-coding RNA, 520 nt
Organism: Salvia splendens (bonfire salvia)
Lineage: Eukaryota; Viridiplantae; Streptophyta; Magnoliopsida; Lamiales; Lamiaceae
Exons: 2
Source: RefSeq, a predicted model, not a curated record
UCGCCGCCUCCCCUUCCUCUAUCGCCAGCUGCCAUGGCCGGCGAUUCCUUCAUUUCCUCCCUCUAAUCGGCGAACCGGCUGAACACUAGCUUCCCGCCACCGCCGGACACCUCCUCUCCCCGCCGCCGGAAGGCACAUUAUCGCAGUCGUGCCUCUCAAAACUGCAUCGCUUCUCCUGCAGUCUCUCUCGGUGAAACCCUCCAGUGACGCUCUCAGAAUCCGAACACAAGUAUCAGUUGUUGGUUAUGUGAACCCAGAUCGUGAUGAACUAUUUAUCUACUCCAAAAAGACCGGAGCUCUUGGGAAAAACGUGACAUGUUAUAGUUUUGAACAAUGUUCUUCUAAUAUUGGUGUUUUUACCCCAAGUUUGAUUUCACUCAAAACCAUGGGGUUCCAUAAUGUUCAGUCGGUAAGUUUUAAUUAGUCAAACAUAAGAAUUGGUUGUAGUACUUUUGUUGAUGUGUGCUGUAACAGGUUCAUAUGUAUUUUGUUUAUUUAUAUGAUUCUUAUUUACAGAAUA